AAGUCGUAACAAGGUUUCCGUAGGUGAACCUGCGGAAGGAUCAUUAACAAAUCAGUUAUUGUGUGUGUGUGUGUGUGCGAUAGCACAUCACAUCACAUCAAUAUAUCAACCCGAACCCGCGCAGCAAUGCCGGGCAAGGUGUGUGCUUUUGGCUUGAGGGCCUUCGCUGGUCCUAAAGCUGAAGGCACGCGGUGAAGACUAUGCGUGUCGCAAGAUGCGCCUAGUCCGAUCCACAUAGACGCUUGUAUAUGUUUGACAGAGUUAGUUGACACUUUAAAAAUGACAACUUUUAACAAUGGAUCUCUUGGCUCUU
This 313-nucleotide unclassified non-coding RNA is filed under the name fungal sp. RNAcentral's name for it is "partial internal transcribed spacer region". The stretch from base 1 to 46 matches the Rfam family "Eukaryotic small subunit ribosomal RNA", at positions 1786 to 1831 of the family's 1831-position model. The record is from RNAcentral. Lineage: Eukaryota; Fungi.